This 18-nucleotide unclassified non-coding RNA is filed under the name Chlamydomonas reinhardtii. Its description in RNAcentral is "small RNA Cre_1346". Lineage: Eukaryota; Viridiplantae; Chlorophyta; Chlorophyceae; Chlamydomonadales; Chlamydomonadaceae. The record is from RNAcentral.
CGGUAGUGGCGGCAGGGG